RNAcentral lists this transfer RNA (74 nucleotides) under Phycisphaerae bacterium. RNAcentral describes it as "tRNA-Arg". It matches the Rfam family "tRNA". From Rfam's summary of the family: Transfer RNA (tRNA) molecules are approximately 80 nucleotides in length. Their secondary structure includes four short double-helical elements and three loops (D, anti-codon, and T loops). Further hydrogen bonds mediate the characteristic L-shaped molecular structure. tRNAs have two regions of fundamental functional importance: the anti-codon, which is responsible for specific mRNA codon recognition, and the 3' end, to which the tRNAs corresponding amino acid is attached (by aminoacyl-tRNA synthetases). tRNAs cope with the degeneracy of the genetic code in two manners: having more than one tRNA (with a specific anti-codon) for a particular amino acid; and 'wobble' base-pairing, i.e. permitting non-standard base-pairing at the 3rd anti-codon position. Lineage: Bacteria; Pseudomonadati; Planctomycetota; Phycisphaerae. The record is from RNAcentral.
GCGUCCGUAGCUCAAUUGGAUAGAGUGAUGGGCUUCGAACCCAUAGGUUGGGGGUUCAACUCCCUCCGGACGCG